Molecule: ribosomal RNA, 424 nt
Filed under: Verrucomicrobiota bacterium
Lineage: Bacteria; Pseudomonadati; Verrucomicrobiota
Description: Verrucomicrobia bacterium partial 16S ribosomal RNA
Rfam family: Bacterial small subunit ribosomal RNA
Source: RNAcentral
UGAGGAAUAUUGGUCAAUGGACGCAAGUCUGAACCAGCCAAGUAGCGUGCAGGAUGACGGCCCUAUGGGUUGUAAACUGCUUUUAUAUGGGGAUAAAGUGGGGAACGUGUUCCCUUUUGCAGGUACCAUAUGAAUAAGGACCGGCUAAUUCCGUGCCAGCAGCCGCGGUAAUACGGAAGGUUCGGGCGUUAUCCGGAUUUAUUGGGUUUAAAGGGAGCGUAGGCCGUUUGGUAAGCGUGUUGUGAAAUGUAGGAGCUCAACUUCUAGAUUGCAGCGCGAACUGUCAGACUUGAGUGCGCACAUCGUAGGCGGAAUUCAUGGUGUAGCGGUGAAAUGCUUAGAUAUCAUGAAGAACUCCGAUUGCGAAGGCAGCUUACGGGAGCGCAACUGACGCUGAAGCUCGAAGGUGCGGGUAUCGAACAGG